CACGCGAAGACCUUACUGCCUUGACAUGUGAGACUUCCAGAGAUGGAUUGGUGCUUCGGAACUCAGACACAGGUGCUGCAUGCUGUCGUCAGCUCGUGUCGUAGAUGUUGGGUUAAGUCCCGUAACGAGCGCAACCCUUGUCGUUAGUUACCAGCACCUCGGGUGGGCACUCUAAGGAGACUGCCGGUGACAACCGGAGGAAGGUGGGGAUGACGUCAAGUCAUCAUGGCCCUUACGGCCAGGGCUACACACGUGCUACAAUGGUCGGUACAAAGGGUUGUCAAGCCGCGAGGUGGAGCUAAUCCCAUAAAACCGAUCGUAGUCCGGAUCGCAGUCUGCAACUCGACUGCGUGAAGUCGGAACGCUAGUAAUCGUGAAUCAGAAUGUCCCGGUGAAUACGUUCCCGGGCCUUGUACUCACCGUCCGUCAGAUGAUGGGAGUGGGUUGCUCCAGAAGUAGCUAGUCUAACCGCAAGGGGGACGCGUUGCCACGGAGUGAUUCAGUGACUGGGGUGAAGUCGUAACAAGUUAUCCAAA
RNAcentral lists this ribosomal RNA (536 nucleotides) under Pseudomonas aeruginosa. Its description in RNAcentral is "bacterial SSU rRNA". It matches the Rfam family "Bacterial small subunit ribosomal RNA", at positions 958 to 1504 of the family's 1533-position model. The record is from RNAcentral. Lineage: Bacteria; Pseudomonadati; Pseudomonadota; Gammaproteobacteria; Pseudomonadales; Pseudomonadaceae.